Molecule: ribosomal RNA, 1218 nt
Filed under: metagenome
Description: bacterial SSU rRNA
Rfam family: Bacterial small subunit ribosomal RNA
Source: RNAcentral
CUGGUCUGAGAGGAUGAUCAGCCACACUGGGACUGAGACACGGCCCAGACUCCUACGGGAGGCAGCAGUGGGGAAUUUUCCGCAAUGGGCGAAAGCCUGACGGAGCAACGCCGCGUGAGGGAUGAAGGCCUCUGGGCUGUAAACCUCUUUUCUCAAGGAAGAAGACCUGACGGUACUUGAGGAAUAAGCCACGGCUAAUUCCGUGCCAGCAGCCGCGGUAAUACGGGAGUGGCAAGCGUUAUCCGGAAUUAUUGGGCGUAAAGCGUCCGCAGGUGGCCCUGUAAGUCUGUCGUUAAAGCGUGGAGCUUAACUCCAUUUAAGCGAUGGAAACUACAGGGCUAGAGUGUGGUAGGGGCAGAGGGAAUUCCCGGUGUAGCGGUGAAAUGCGUAGAUAUCGGGAAGAACACCAGUGGCGAAGGCGCUCUGCUGGGCCAUCACUGACACUCAUGGACGAAAGCCAGGGGAGCGAAAGGGAUUAGAUACCCCUGUAGUCCUGGCCGUAAACGAUGAACACUAGGUGUCGGGGGAAUCGACCCCCUCGGUGUCGUAGCCAACGCGUUAAGUGUUCCGCCUGGGGAGUACGCACGCAAGUGUGAAACUCAAAGGAAUUGACGGGGGCCCGCACAAGCGGUGGAGUAUGUGGUUUAAUUCGAUGGAACGCGAAGAACCUUACCAGGGUUUGACAUCCUGCGAAUCCCUUGGAAACGAGGGAGUGCCUUCGGGAGCGCAGAGACAGGUGGUGCAUGGCUGUCGUCAGCUCGUGUCGUGAGAUGUUGGGUUAAGUCCCGCAACGAGCGCAACCCACGUCGUUAGUUGCCAGCAUUCAGUUGGGCACUCUAGCGAGACCGCCGGUGAUAAACCGGAGGAAGGUGUGGAUGACGUCAAGUCAUCAUGCCCCUUACAUCCUGGGCUACACACGUACUACAAUGCUACGGACAAAGGGCAGCAAACUCGCGAGAGCUAGCAAAUCCCAUAAACCGUGGCUCAGUUCAGAUCGUAGGCUGCAACUCGCCUACGUGAAGGAGGAAUCGCUAGUAAUCGCAGGUCAGCAUACUGCGGUGAAUACGUUCCCGGGCCUUGUACACACCGCCCGUCACACCAUGGAAGUUGGCCACGCCCGAAGUCGUUACUCCAACCCUUGUGGAGGAGGACGCCGAAGGUGGGGCUGAUGACUGGGGUGAAGUCGUAACAAGGUAGCCGUACCGGAAGGUGCGGCUG